This 357-nucleotide transfer-messenger RNA is filed under the name Bacillota bacterium. It matches the Rfam family "transfer-messenger RNA". Rfam says of the family: Bacterial tmRNA, also known as 10Sa RNA or SsrA, is named for its dual tRNA and mRNA-like properties. Its role is to liberate the mRNA from a stalled ribosome. To accomplish this part of the tmRNA is used as a reading frame that ends in a translation stop signal. The record is from RNAcentral. Lineage: Bacteria; Bacillati; Bacillota.
GGGGGCGAACUAGAUUCGACGGAGAUGGACGGGGUAUUGAAUUGCGAGUCGAGUUCCUGUGCCUCGUUAAACGGCAGGAAAACAAUAAUUGCGAACGAACAAAACGAAGAAUUAGCCUUAGCUGCAUAAAUCCAGCUAACGCGGCGUGUUCAGGUUCCUGCCUUGCGCAAUGCCGCGUAAAACUUGCAGGAUAGCCGAAGAUGUUGUCCACCGUUUUCGGUGAAAGACAGGACUAGUUCUCAUCUGACCGCGCACCGGCGAUGAGAUCCGAGCGAAAUUGAUUCCGGUGCUACACUCGUAGACAUUCAAUAUGACGUAUCUUCGGACGGGACGGGCAGCACGUCCCCGCCUCCACCA